This 465-nucleotide ribosomal RNA is filed under the name uncultured bacterium. Its description in RNAcentral is "partial 16S ribosomal RNA". It matches the Rfam family "Bacterial small subunit ribosomal RNA", at positions 338 to 795 of the family's 1533-position model. The record is from RNAcentral.
CCUACGGGUGGCAGCAGUGGGGAAUAUUGCGCAAUGGGCGAAAGCCUGACGCAGCGACGCCGCGUGAGGGAUGAAGGUCUUCGGAUCGUAAACCUCUGUCUGCAGGGAAGUACGGUCACUGUGCUAAUCAGCAGUGAAUUGACGGUACCUGCAAAGGAAGCACCGGCUAACUCCGUGCCAGCAGCCGCGGUAAUACGGAGGGUGCGAGCGUUAAUCGGAAUUACGUGGCGUAAAGCGCUCGUAGGCGGUAUGUCAAGUCAAGGGGGAAAUCCCCGCGCUCAACGUGGGUACUGCCUUUGAAACGGGAAAACUGGAGUGUGUGAGAGGAUAGUGGAAUUCCAGGGGUAGGAGUGAAAUCCGUAGAUAUCUGGAGGAACAUCAGUGGCGAAGGCGAGUAUCUGGCACAUAACUGACGCUGAGGAGCGAAAGCGUGGGUAGCAAACAGGAUUAGAUACCCGAGUAGUC